This 513-nucleotide ribosomal RNA is filed under the name uncultured bacterium. RNAcentral's name for it is "bacterial SSU rRNA". It matches the Rfam family "Bacterial small subunit ribosomal RNA", at positions 34 to 518 of the family's 1533-position model. The record is from RNAcentral.
CGCUGGCGGCGUGCCUAAUACAUGCAAGUCGAACGGUCUUUCUAUGGAAGCUUGCUUCCACUGAGAAGAUAGUGGCGAACGGGUGAGUAACACGUGGGUAACCUGCCCAUAAGAGGGGGAUAACAUCCGGAAACGGGUGCUAAUACCGCAUAGUUUUCUUGAUCGCAUGAUCGGGAAAGGAAAGACGGCCUUUGUGCUGUCGCUUAUGGAUGGACCCGCGGCGUAUUAGUUAGUUGGUGAGGUAACGGCUCACCAAGACGAUGAUACGUAGCCGACCUGAGAGGGUGAUCGGCCACAUUGGGACUGAGACACGGCCCAAACUCCUACGGGAGGCAGCAGUAGGGAAUCUUCCGCAAUGGACGAAAGUCUGACGGAGCAACGCCGCGUGAGUGAAGAAAAGGGUUUUCGGAUCGUAAAACUCUGUUGUCAGAGAAGAACAAGUUGGAGAGUAACUGCUCCAGCCUUGACGGUAUCUGACCAGAAAGCCACGGCUAACUACGUGCCAGCCGCCGC